This 1990-nucleotide ribosomal RNA is filed under the name human metagenome. RNAcentral describes it as "bacterial LSU rRNA". It matches the Rfam family "Bacterial large subunit ribosomal RNA", at positions 3 to 2044 of the family's 2925-position model. The record is from RNAcentral.
UCAAGUGAAUAAGUGCAUGUGGUGGAUGCCUUGGCGAUUACAGGCGAUGAAGGACGUUGUAGCCUGCGAAAAGCCGCGGGGAGCUGGCAAACAAGCUUUGAUCCGCGGAUGUCCGAAUGGGGAAACCCACCCGCAAGGGUAUCGCUGACUGAAUCCAUAGGUCAGCGAGGCGAACGUGGCGAACUGAAACAUCUAAGUAGCCACAGGAAAAGAAAUCAACCGAGAUUCCGAAAGUAGUGGCGAGCGAAAUCGGAGCAGCCUGUGCGUGAUAGUCGAUUGGCUAGUGGAACGGUAUGGAAAGGCCGGCCAUAGAGGGUGAUAGCCCCUUACACGAAAGCGAAUCGGUGGUACUGAGCGUACGACAAGUAGGGCGGGACACGUGUAAUCCUGUCUGAAGAUGGGGGGACCAUCCUCCAAGGCUAAAUACUCGUAAUCGACCGAUAGUGAACAAGUACUGUGAAGGAAAGGCGAAAAGAACCCCGGGAGGGGAGUGAAAUAGAUCCUGAAACCGCAUGCAUACAAACAGUCGGAGCCUCGCAAGGGGUGACGGCGUACCUUUUGUAUAAUGGGUCAGCGACUUACGUUCAGUGGCAAGCUUAACCAGAUAGGGGAGGCGCAGGGAAACCGAGUCCGAAUAGGGCGCCAUAGUCGCUGGGCGUAGACCCGAAACCAGGUGAUCUAUCCAUGGUCAGGAUGAAGGUUGGGUAACACCAGCUGGAGGUCCGAACCGACUAAUGUUGCAAAAUUAGCGGAUGAACUGUGGAUAGGGGUGAAAGGCUAAUCAAACCUGGAAAUAGCUGGUUCUCCCCGAAAACUAUUUAGGUAGUGCGUCAUGUAUUGCUCCAGGGGGUAGAGCACUGUAAUGGUUGUGGGGGCCAUCGCGGCUUACCACGCCAUAGCAAACUCCGAAUACCUGGAAGUAUGAGCAUGGCAGACAGUCGCCGGGUGCUAACGUCCGGCGGCAAGAGGGAAACAACCCAGACCUACAGCUAAGGUCCCAAAGUGUGGCUAAGUGGGAAACGAAGUGGGAAGGCUAAAACAGUCAGGAUGUUGGCUUAGAAGCAGCCAUCAUUUAAAGAAAGCGUAAUAGCUCACUGAUCGAGUCGUCCUGCGCGGAAGAUGUAACGGGGCUAAGCCAUGCACCGAAGCUUAGGCUGCACUCUUUGAGUGCGGGGUAGGGGAGCGUUCUGUAAGCCUGUGAAGGUGUCUCGUAAGGGAUGCUGGAGGUAUCAGAAGUGCGAAUGCUGACAUGAGUAGCGUUAAAGCGGGUGAAAAGCCCGCUCGCCGUAAGCGCAAGGUUUCCUACGCAACGUUCAUCGGCGUAGGGUGAGUCGGCCCCUAAGGUGAGGGCGAAAGCCAUAGCUGAUGGGAAGCUGGUUAAUAUUCCAGCACCGAUUUCUAGUGCGAUGGGGGGACGGAUCGUGGAAGGUUGUCCGGGUGUUGGAAGUCCCGGUUCCUGACCUGUAGGUGUCUGGUAGGUAAAUCCGCCAGGCGUAUGCCGAGGGGUUGGGACGAGCGAGCUUGCUCGCGAAGCAACUGGAAGUGGUUCCAAGAAAAGCCUCUAAGCUUCAGCUAGAAACGACCGUACCGCAAACCAACACUGGUGCGCGAGAUGAGUAUUCUCAGGCGCUUGAGAGAACUCGGGAGAAGGAACUCGGCAAAUUGACACCGUAACUUCGGAAGAAGGUGUGCCCUGGUAGCUUGAGUGUGAACAACACGAGGGCCAAGGGGUUGCAAAAAAUAGGUGGCUGCGACUGUUUAUUAAAAACACAGCACUCUGCAAACACGAAAGUGGACGUAUAGGGUGUGACGCCUGCCCGGUGCCGGAAGGUUAAGUGAUGGGGUGCAAGCUCUUGAUCGAAGCCCCGGUAAACGGCGGCCGUAACUAUAACGGUCCUAAGGUAGCGAAAUUCCUUGUCGGGUAAGUUCCGACCUGCACGAAUGGCGUAACGAUGGCCACACUGUCUCCUCCCGAGACUCAGCGAAGUUG